GAGACACCCCUCCGGGGGCAAGACUUGCUUCAGUGGGGCUUUGGUGCUCACUGAGUCUGCCCCCUGAGUGUGUCCUU
Molecule: microRNA precursor, 77 nt
Filed under: Myotis lucifugus (little brown bat)
Lineage: Eukaryota; Metazoa; Chordata; Mammalia; Chiroptera; Vespertilionidae
Description: mir-9229 microRNA precursor family
Rfam family: mir-9229 microRNA precursor family
Source: Rfam by way of RNAcentral